Piliocolobus tephrosceles (Ugandan red Colobus) is the source of this 1613-nucleotide long non-coding RNA. Lineage: Eukaryota; Metazoa; Chordata; Mammalia; Primates; Cercopithecidae. The record is from Ensembl.
AUGAACAAUAUAAUAAAAUCAAAAAAGCUGUAUGAAUUAUAUUCGAAACGCUAUAUUUGUAAUUACUCUAAAAACAGAAAUUUAAAAAAUAAAUAUAAAUAUCUAAAUGGUCAUAACAAUAAUUUAACAUUUAGUUCUACUAACACAACGAUAAACAAUAACGGCAAUAAACUAACAAAUUUUAGUACCAAUAAAUUUCGGAGUGAAAUAAAAUGGCCAUUUCAAUUUUAUGUACAAAACCAUAUAGUUUUAAAAAAAAUUAUGAACAGUAAUGUGAAAAAACUAAGUGCAAGGCAAUUUUCAAGAUAUUCCCACAAAGAAUCAUCAUCGUCAAGGAAUAUUAAAAAUGAAGAUAAAAAAAAUAUAAAAAAGAAAUUGGAAUUGUUUGUACGUUUACCAUAUAUGGAAAUAAAAAAUAAAUUUAACAACAUAAGUCUUUUAUGGUUGAAAGAUAAUUAUUAUAAAAAUAAAAAAUGGCUAAUCACUUUUUUGAAUAAUGUUUAUUAUGAAAUAUGCAUAAAAAAAUAUAGACAAUUAAAAAAAACAGUACCAAAUAAUUUUUUUUUUAAUUAUAACAAAAAUAAUAAUGUAAAAAUAUUUUAUCCGUUUUUUUCAGUAUUAUUUAUAAAAAACUUUUUUAAAAAUGAUAAAUUAAUAACUCGUUUUUUAAAUUAUUUAUCAAUAAAUAAAAAAUUGUUCUUAAAUAAUUUUUCUAGUUUUUAUCAACAAAAUAUAAGAAGCGGCUAUUAUAAAAAAUUAUUUUUAUUUCAUUAUAAAAAAACUCCAGCUACAUAUACUCUUAUUUUAUUACACUUAUUUAUUUAUUUAUUAUGGUUCAAAGCGAAACCUGUACAGUAUAACUACAAUGAAUAUUUUUUAACAAAUAACAUGUUCAUAGAUAGAAACAGACAAAAAAACAACAAUUUUCUAUUAACAACUGAUUUUAUGUAUAAUCAUUUUUGUUGUAGUUUACGAAGUUUAAAAGAAAAAAGGUUUUAUACAAUUUUAACAAAUAUAAUUAGCCAUAAUACUAUACAAUCUUUUUUAUUAAAUACUAUUGCUUUAUACUAUAUAGGGAAAGGUUUAGAAUGUAUUAUAAAUACUAAAAAUUUUUUAAUUACAUAUAUAUUGAGUGGAGUUUUAUCAUCCUAUAUACAAAUAUUAUAUCAUAAAAACACAUAUAAUAAUUAUAAUUAUGUUUAUGUGUUAGGUGCCAGUGGAAGUAUAAGUUCUAUUCUAGCUACAUACACAUUUAUCUUUCCGAAACAAAAUAUUUACCUAUAUGGAAUCAUUGGUUUGCCUAUGGCUUUAUUUUCUUCUUUAUACUUUUUGAACGAAUUUUACUGUGUUAUAACGAAUAAAAACGACAAUACAGGACAUGUCGCACAUUUAUGUGGUAUGUGUUUAGGAAUCUUGUACUAUUUAUUUUAUGUUAAAGGAAGAAUUGUUACAUAAAAACAUGCAUACAAAAGUAAAUGAUAAAAAGGCAAAGGAUAAAACCUGCGCAAAGAAGGUAAAACACGAAGAAUUAGGUGAAGCUAAUGAGGAAACCGAAAUUGUAGAAGAGGAGCAAGUGAGUAAUUCCAGUACAAAUAAAAAUGAAAAAAAAAACA